Molecule: ribosomal RNA, 305 nt
Filed under: uncultured bacterium
Lineage: Bacteria
Description: bacterial SSU rRNA
Rfam family: Bacterial small subunit ribosomal RNA
Source: RNAcentral
UCCUACGGGGGGCAGCAGUGAGGAAUAUUGGUCAAUGGAGGAAACUCUGACGCAGUGACGCCGCGUGCAGGAAGAAGGUUUUCGGAUUGUAAACUGCUUUAGACAGGGAAGAAACAAGACAGUACCUGUAGAAUAAGCUCCGGCUAACUACGUGCCAGCAGCCGCGGUAAUACGUAGGGAGCAAGCGUUAUCCGGAUUUAUUGGGUGUAAAGGGUGCGUAGACGGGAAGGCAAGUUGGUUGUGAAAUCCCUCGGCUUAACUGAGGAACUGCAACCAAAACUAUCUUUCUUGAGUGCUGGAGAGGA